RNAcentral lists this ribosomal RNA (594 nucleotides) under uncultured bacterium. RNAcentral's name for it is "bacterial SSU rRNA". It matches the Rfam family "Bacterial small subunit ribosomal RNA", at positions 338 to 946 of the family's 1533-position model. The record is from RNAcentral.
CCUACGGGAGGCAGCAGUAGGGAAUUUUCCGCAAUGGGCGAAAGCCUGACGGAGCAAUACCGCGUGAGGGAUGACGGCCUGUGGGUUGUAAACCUCUUUUCUCAAGGAAGAAGUUCUGACGGUACUUGAGGAAUAAGCAUCGGCUAACUCUGUGCCAGCAGCCGCGGUAAUACAGAGGAUGCAAGCGUUAUCCGGAAUCACUGGGCAUAAAGCGUCUGUAGGUUGUUUAGUAAGUCUGCUGUUAAAGACUGGGGCUUAACCCCAGAAAAGCAGUGGAAACUGCUAGACUCGAGUGUGGUAGAGGUAGAGGGAAUUCCUAGUGUAGCGGUGAAAUGCGUAGAUAUUAGGAAGAACACCAAUGGCGAAGGCACUCUACUGGGCCAUAACUGACACUGAGAGACGACAGCUAGGGGAGCAAACGGGAUUAGAUACCCCGGUAGUCCUAGCCGUAAACGAUGGAUACUAGAUGUUGCACGUAUUAACCCGUGCAGUAUCGUAGCUAAGGCGUUAAGUAUCCCGCCUGGGAAGUACGCUCGCAAGAGUGAAACUCAAAGGAAUUGACGGCNGAGAGNGCGAGACGACGACGAGGGAGAG